GCUUGUCUCAAAGAUUAAGCCAUGCAUGUCUAAGUAUAAGCCUUUGUACGGCGAAACUGCGAAUGGCUCAUUAAAACAGUUAUAGUUUAUUCGAUAAUCAAUUGCUACAUGGAUAACUGUAGUAAUUCUAGAGCUAAUACAUGCACCCGUGCCCGACUUUGUGGAAGGGUUGUGUUUAUUAGUUACAGAACCAGCCCAGGCUCUGCCUGGUCUUGUGGUGAUUCAUAAUAACCGAACGAAUCGUAUGGCAUCAGCUGGCGAUGAAUCAUUCAAGUUUCUGACCUAUCAGCUUCCGACGGUAGGGUAUUGGCCUACCGUGGCAAUGACGGGUAACGGAGAAUUAGGGUUCGAUUCCGGAGAGGGAGCCUGAGAAACGGCUACCACAUCUAAGGAAGGCAGCAGG
RNAcentral lists this ribosomal RNA (403 nucleotides) under Azadinium dalianense. RNAcentral describes it as "partial small subunit ribosomal RNA". It matches the Rfam family "Eukaryotic small subunit ribosomal RNA", at positions 30 to 432 of the family's 1831-position model. The record is from RNAcentral. Lineage: Eukaryota; Dinophyceae; Gonyaulacales; Amphidomataceae.